This 253-nucleotide ribosomal RNA is filed under the name uncultured bacterium. RNAcentral describes it as "partial 16S ribosomal RNA". It matches the Rfam family "Bacterial small subunit ribosomal RNA", at positions 524 to 776 of the family's 1533-position model. The record is from RNAcentral.
UACGGAGGGCGCGAGCGUUAAUCGGAAUUACUGGGAGUAAAGGGUGCGUAGGUGGUUGAUUAAGUUAUCUGUGAAAUUCCUGGGCUUAACCUGGGACGGUCAGAUAAUACUGGUUGACUCGAGUAUGGGAGAGGGUAGUGGAAUUUCCGGUGUAGCGGUGAAAUGCGUAGAGAUCGGAAGGAACACCAGUGGCGAAGGCGGCUACCUGGCCUAAUACUGACACUGAGGCACGAAAGCGUGGGGAGCCUACAGG